Long non-coding RNA from Agelaius phoeniceus (red-winged blackbird), 1032 nucleotides. RefSeq lists it as uncharacterized. Lineage: Eukaryota; Metazoa; Chordata; Aves; Passeriformes; Icteridae. The record is from RefSeq and is a predicted model, not a curated record.
GCACGAGGAGACCUCUUGCCAACACUUGGUCUGCCUGAUAAUUUUAGGCUGGCCUAAUUGCAAAGGAAUCAGCUGUCCCUCUGGACACAGGAAUGGACAGAGCACAGAACUGACACGACACAUAUGCAGGACAACAGAUCAUCUGCAGUUUCUUGCUCUUCUGACACUCAGCAAACUGAAACCCUGGAUCCACGUAUGGCAAAUGAUUUGAUGGGAUAGUAACAACACCUGAAUGAAUCCACACUUCAGUGCCAGACAAAAAUGUAAGGCUUGUAAAAAUUAAAAAAAAAGUCCAUUACCAUUUGCUGAAAUCAAUCUGCAGAGAAUGGUCAACAGUGAGAUCAGUUGGGCAGGCAGGAUUGACCUUCCCUGGAUCUCCUCCAGCAUUUCUCACAGCUUCCCUCAUGGCAGCAAAAUCCACCAUUGCUGGAAUUCCACUGAUGGAGAGAAAAACAAAAUAGUAAAACAACAUGGACACUAACUCACUGAGUGGCACAAACUUCUUUUUCAUUUUAUCCAAGUCUAGAAGUAGCUAUAUCCUAUUUCAGAAAAUACACCUAUUAUUCUCUCAAGUUUAAAGGACUUGGACCAUUUUUGAAGUCAUGGAGUUGGUACACCCUCUCAACGAGCAAGUGUGUCUGAAGGCAAUGUACCAAAGAAGAACAUGGGACCAUCUCAAAGAUAACCACACUUCUCUUGUGCCUUGCUUUGCUUCUCAGGUGUGAUGGUACUUCAGUACAGAAGCGAUCUCUGGAUACUCCUUACCUUUACAACAGAACCUUGCCAUGCAAUCAAAGCUCCUGCUAUACAUUUAACACCCCAGCCUAUAUCAUUUGUCUGACAGAGCUAUUUCUGAAGCUUUUAUCAUUUCACAAUAUUUGUAUUGCUGUACAAAACAGAGGCAAUGUUUAUAGAACACAGUAGCAUGUAAAUCUUAUUGGCUUUGCCUGCUAAGCAAAUGUUACCUCAUUUUUAUUAUCAUCAUAAUUCCUUUUUUAAUUAUCUCAAUAAAUAUACAGAGUCAGCAAGACA